ACGGGAGGCAGCAGUCGGGAAUAUUGCGCAAUGGAGGAAACUCUGACGCAGUGACGCCGCGUAUAGGAAGAAGGUUUUCGGAUUGUAAACUAUUGUCAUUAGGGAAGAUAAAAGACUGUACCUAAAGAGGAAGCUCCGGCUAACUACGUGCCAGCAGCCGCGGUAAUACGUAGGGAGCAAGCGUUAUCCGGAUUUAUUGGGUGUAAAGGGUGCGUAGACGGGAAAACAAGUUAGUUGUGAAAUCCCUCGGCUUAACUGAGGAACUGCAACUAAAACUAUUUUUCUUGAGUGUCGGAGAGGAAAGUGGAAUUCCUAGUGUAGCGGUGAAAUGCGUAGAUAUUAGGAGGAACACCGGUGGCGAAGGCGACUUUCUGGACGAUAACUGACGUUGAGGCACGAAAGUGUGGGGAGCAAACAGGAUUAGAUACCCUGGUA
This 435-nucleotide ribosomal RNA is filed under the name uncultured Oscillospiraceae bacterium. RNAcentral's name for it is "partial 16S ribosomal RNA". It matches the Rfam family "Bacterial small subunit ribosomal RNA", at positions 341 to 792 of the family's 1533-position model. The record is from RNAcentral. Lineage: Bacteria; Bacillati; Bacillota; Clostridia; Eubacteriales; Oscillospiraceae.